RNAcentral lists this non-coding RNA (63 nucleotides) under Crocosphaera subtropica ATCC 51142. RNAcentral describes it as "Cyanothece sp. ATCC 51142 Cyano-1 RNA". It matches the Rfam family "Cyano-1 RNA". Lineage: Bacteria; Bacillati; Cyanobacteriota; Cyanophyceae; Chroococcales; Aphanothecaceae. The record is from Rfam by way of RNAcentral.
GAGAGCUUAAAGAGUAAAGCACUUGGUGUCGAAACAAGGCAAGACUUCCAGGUGCUUUUCUCA